UACGGAGGGGGCUAGCGUUGUUCGGAAUUACUGGGCGUAAAGCGCACGUAGGCGGCUUUGUAAGUUAGAGGUGAAAGCCCGGAGCUCAACUCCGGAAUUGCCUUUAAGACUGCAUCGCUCGAAUCAUGGAGAGGUGAGUGGAAUUCCGAGUGUAGAGGUGAAAUUCGUAGAUAUUCGGAAGAACACCAGUGGCGAAGGCGACUCACUGGACAUGUAUUGACGCUGAGGUGCGAAAGCGUGGGGAG
RNAcentral lists this ribosomal RNA (245 nucleotides) under uncultured bacterium. RNAcentral's name for it is "partial 16S ribosomal RNA". It matches the Rfam family "Bacterial small subunit ribosomal RNA", at positions 524 to 768 of the family's 1533-position model. The record is from RNAcentral.